AUUGAACGCUGGCGGCAUGCCUUACACAUGCAAGUCGAACGGUAACGCGGGGCAACCUGGCGACGAGUGGCGAACGGGUGAGUAAUGUAUCGGAACGUGCCCAGUUGUGGGGGAUAACUGCUCGAAAGAGCAGCUAAUACCGCAUACGACCUGAGGGUGAAAGCGGGGGAUCGCAAGACCUCGCGCAAUUGGAGCGGCCGAUAUCAGCUUAGGUAGUAGGUGGGGUAAAGGCUCACCAAGCCGACGGUCUGUAGCUGGUCUGAGAGGACGACCAGCCACACUGGGACUGAGACACGGCCCAGACUCCUACGGGAGGCAGCAGUGGGGAAUUUUGGACAAUGGACGCAAGUCUGAUCCAGCCAUGCCGCGUGCGGGAAGAAGGCCUUCGGGUUGUAAACCGCUUUUGUCAGGGAAGAAAAGGCUCCUUCUAAUAUAGGGGGCUCAUGACGGUACCUGAAGAAUAAGCACCGGCUAACUACGUGCCAGCAGCCGCCGUAA
RNAcentral lists this ribosomal RNA (498 nucleotides) under uncultured bacterium. Its description in RNAcentral is "partial 16S ribosomal RNA". It matches the Rfam family "Bacterial small subunit ribosomal RNA", at positions 29 to 523 of the family's 1533-position model. The record is from RNAcentral.